GUGGGGAAUUUUGCGCAAUGGGCUAACGCCUGACGCAGCAACGCCGCGUGGAGGAUGAAGGUCUUUGGAUUGUAAACUCCUGUCAGCAGGGAAAAAGCAACUUGACCUAAUACGUCAGGGAGUUGAUUGUACCUGCAGAGGAAGCCCCGGCUAACUCUGUGCCAGCAGCCGCGGUAAUACGGGGGGGGCUAGCGUUGUUCGGAAUUACUGGGCGUAAAGGGCGCGUAGGCGGUCUGCUAAGUUGGAUGUGAAAACUCUGGGCUUAACCCAGAGCCUGCAUUCAAUACUGACAGGCUAGAGUUCUGGAGGGGAUAGCGGAAUUCCUGGUGUAGCGGUGAAAUGCGUAGAUAUCAGGAGGAACACCGGUGGCGAAGGCGGCUAUCUGGACAGAAACUGACGCUGAGGCGCGAAAGCUAGGGGAGCAAA
This 426-nucleotide ribosomal RNA is filed under the name uncultured bacterium. RNAcentral describes it as "bacterial SSU rRNA". It matches the Rfam family "Bacterial small subunit ribosomal RNA", at positions 354 to 772 of the family's 1533-position model. The record is from RNAcentral.